GACGAACGCUGGCGGCGUGCCUAAUACAUGCAAGUAGAACGCUGAAGGAGGAGCUUGCUUCUCUGGAUGAGUUGCGAACGGGUGAGUAACGCGUAGGUAACCUGCCUGGUAGCGGGGGAUAACUAUUGGAAACGAUAGCUAAUACCGCAUAAGAGUAGAUGUUGCAUGACAUUUGCUUAAAAGGUGCAAUUGCAUCACUACCAGAUGGACCUGCGUUGUAUUAGCUAGUUGGUGGGGUAACGGCUCACCAAGGCGACGAUACAUAGCCGACCUGAGAGGGUGAUCGGCCACACUGGGACUGAGACACGGCCCAGACUCCUACGGGAGGCAGCAGUAGGGAAUCUUCGGCAAUGGACGGAAGUCUGACCGAGCAACGCCGCGUGAGUGAAGAAGGUUUUCGGAUCGUAAAGCUCUGUUGUAAGAGAAGAACGAGUGUGAGAGUGGAAAGUUCACACUGUGACGGUAUCUUACCAGAAAGGGACGGCUAACUACGUGCCAGCAGCCGCGGUAAUACGUAGGUGGCAAGCGUUAUCCGGAUUUAUUGGGCGUAAAGAGAGUGCAGGCGGUUUUCUAAGUCUGAUGUGAAAGCCUUCGGCUUAACCGGAGAAGUGCAUCGGAAACUGGAUAACUUGAGUGCAGAAGAGGGUAGUGGAACUCCAUGUGUAGCGGUGGAAUGCGUAGAUAUAUGGAAGAACACCACUGGCGAAGGCGGCUACCUGGUCUGCAACUGACGCUGAGACUCGAAAGCAUGGGUAGCGAACAGGAUUGAUACCCUUGUAGUCCAGGGCGAAUUCCACACUGGGAUAUCAGCUUAUCGAUACCGUCGACCUCAAGGGGGGCCCGGUACCCAGCUUUGUUCCUCUAAACGAAAGAUACAAAAAUACGCAUGC
RNAcentral lists this ribosomal RNA (890 nucleotides) under uncultured Streptococcus sp. Its description in RNAcentral is "bacterial SSU rRNA". It matches the Rfam family "Bacterial small subunit ribosomal RNA". The record is from RNAcentral. Lineage: Bacteria; Bacillati; Bacillota; Bacilli; Lactobacillales; Streptococcaceae.